RNAcentral lists this ribosomal RNA (271 nucleotides) under uncultured bacterium. RNAcentral describes it as "partial 16S ribosomal RNA". It matches the Rfam family "Bacterial small subunit ribosomal RNA", at positions 524 to 776 of the family's 1533-position model. The record is from RNAcentral.
UACGUAGGGUGCAAGCGUUGUCCGGAAUUAUUGGGCGUAAAGAGCUCGUAGGCGGUUUUGUCGCGUCUGCUGUGAAAAAACGCGAGGCUCAACCUCGCGCCUGCAGUGGAUACGGGGCAAAACUGGAGUACUGCAGGGGGAGACUGGAAAUUCCUGGUGUAGCGGUGAAAAAUGCGCAGAUAUCAGGAGGAACACCGGUGGCGAAAGGCGGGGUCUCUGGGGCAGUAAACUGACGCUGAGGAGCGAAAAAGCGUGGGGGGAGCGAAACAGG